CGUGUAUGAAGAAGGCCUUCGGGUUGUAAAGUACUUUCAGCGGGGAGGAAGGGAGUAAAGUUAAUACCUUUGCUCAUUGACGUUACCCGCAGAAGAAGCACCGGCUAACUCCGUGCCAGCAGCCGCGGUAAUACGGAGGGUGCAAGCGUUAAUCGGAAUUACUGGGCGUAAAGCGCACGCAGGCGGUUUGUUAAGUCAGAUGUGAAAUCCCCGGGCUCAACCUGGGAACUGCAUCUGAUACUGGCAAGCUUGAGUCUCGUAGAGGGGGGUAGAAUUCCAGGUGUAGCGGUGAAAUGCGUAGAGAUCUGGAGGAA
Molecule: ribosomal RNA, 314 nt
Filed under: Escherichia coli
Lineage: Bacteria; Pseudomonadati; Pseudomonadota; Gammaproteobacteria; Enterobacterales; Enterobacteriaceae
Description: bacterial SSU rRNA
Rfam family: Bacterial small subunit ribosomal RNA
Source: RNAcentral